GGAUUAGAUACCCUGGUAGUCCACGCCGUAAACGAUGGAUACUAGCUGUUGGGCGCAAGUUCAGUGGCUAAGCGAAAGUGAUAAGUAUCCCACCUGGGGAGUACGUUCGCAAGAAUGAAACUCAAAGGAAUUGACGGGGGCCCGCACAAGCGGUGGAGCAUGUGGUUUAAUUCGAUGAUACGCGAGGAACCUUACCAAGGCUUAAAUGUAGAUUGACAGGACUGGAAACAGUUUUUUCUUCGGACAAUUUACAAGGUGCUGCAUGGUUGUCGUCAGCUCGUGCCG
Molecule: ribosomal RNA, 285 nt
Filed under: uncultured bacterium
Lineage: Bacteria
Description: partial 16S ribosomal RNA
Rfam family: Bacterial small subunit ribosomal RNA
Source: RNAcentral